AGGAGCUUAGGUUAACCCUCAAACCAGGGGCCUUCAAAGCCCCAAACAAAAGUUAAAAUCUCUUAGCUCCUGU
RNAcentral lists this transfer RNA (73 nucleotides) under Proscelotes eggeli. Its description in RNAcentral is "tRNA-Trp". It matches the Rfam family "tRNA". From Rfam's summary of the family: Transfer RNA (tRNA) molecules are approximately 80 nucleotides in length. Lineage: Eukaryota; Metazoa; Chordata; Lepidosauria; Squamata; Scincidae. The record is from RNAcentral.